This 460-nucleotide ribosomal RNA is filed under the name uncultured bacterium. Its description in RNAcentral is "partial 16S ribosomal RNA". It matches the Rfam family "Bacterial small subunit ribosomal RNA", at positions 338 to 795 of the family's 1533-position model. The record is from RNAcentral.
CCUACGGGAGGCAGCAGUGAGGAAUAUUGGUCAAUGGACGAGAGUCUGAACCAGCCAAGUAGCGUGAAGGAUGACUGCCCUAUGGGUUGUAAACUUCUUUUAUAUGGGAAUAAAAUGUUCCCCGUGUGGGAUUUUGUAUGUACCAUAUGAAUAAGGAUCGGCUCACUCCGUGCCAGCAGCCGCGGUAAUACGGAGGAUCCGAGCGUUAUCCGGAUUUAUUGGGUUUAAAGGGAGCGUAGGUGGAUUGUUAAGUCAGUUGUGAAAGUUUGCGGCUCAACCGUAAAAUUGCAGUUGAAACUGGCAGUCUUGAGUACAGUAGAGGUGGGCGGAAUUCGUGGUGUAGCGGUGAAAUGCUUAGAUAUCACGAAGAACUCCGAUGGCGAAGGCAGUUCACUGGACUGCAACUGACACUGAGGCUCGAAAGUGUGGGUAUCAAACAGGAUUAGAUACCCCUGUAGUC